RNAcentral lists this ribosomal RNA (208 nucleotides) under uncultured bacterium. Its description in RNAcentral is "partial 16S ribosomal RNA". It matches the Rfam family "Bacterial small subunit ribosomal RNA", at positions 1293 to 1500 of the family's 1533-position model. The record is from RNAcentral.
UCGGAUUGCAGGCUGCAACCCGCCCUGUAUGAAGUUGGAAUCGCUAGUAAUCGCGGAUCAGCAUGCCGCGGUGAAUACGUUCCCGGGUCUUGUACACACCGCCCGUCACACCAUGGGAGCCGGUAAUACCCGAAGUCAGUAGUCCAACCACGUGAGGACGCUGCCGAAGGUAGGAUUGGCGACUGGGGUGAAGUCGUAACAAGGUAUC